This 250-nucleotide ribosomal RNA is filed under the name uncultured bacterium. RNAcentral's name for it is "partial 16S ribosomal RNA". It matches the Rfam family "Bacterial small subunit ribosomal RNA", at positions 524 to 771 of the family's 1533-position model. The record is from RNAcentral.
UACGUAGGCAGCGAGCGUUGUUCGGAAUUACUGGGCGUAAAGAGUGUGUAGGCGGUGCUCUAAGUUCGGUGUGAAAUCUCCUGGCUCAACUGGGGAGGGUGCGCCGGAAACUGGAGUGCUUGAGCGUGGGAGAGGAAAGCGGAAUUCCUGGUGUAGCGGUGAAAUGCGUAGAUAUCAGGGAGGGAACACCUGUGGUGUAGACGGCUUCUGGACCAUAGCUGACGCUGAGACACGAAAGCGUGGGUAGCAA